RNAcentral lists this ribosomal RNA (484 nucleotides) under uncultured bacterium. Its description in RNAcentral is "partial 16S ribosomal RNA". It matches the Rfam family "Bacterial small subunit ribosomal RNA", at positions 30 to 507 of the family's 1533-position model. The record is from RNAcentral.
AUUGAACGCUGGCGGCAGGCCUAACACAUGCAAGUCGAGCGGAUGAAGGGAGCUUGCUCCUGGAUUCAGCGGCGGACGGGUGAGUAAUGCCUAGGAAUCUGCCUGGUCGUGGGGGAUAACGUCCGGUAACGGGCGCUAAUCCCGCAUACGUCCUGAGGGUGAAAGUGGGGGAUCUUCGGACCUCACGCUAUCAGAUGAGCCUAGGUCGGAUUAGCUAGUUGGUGGGGUAAAGGCCUACCAAGGCGACGAUCCGUAACUGAUCUGAGAGGCUGAUCAGUCACACUGGAACUGAGACACGGUCCAGACUCCUACGGGAGGCAGCAGUGGGGAAUAUUGGACAAUGGGCGAAAGCCUGAUCCAGCCAUGCCGCGUGUGUGAAGAAGGUCUUCGGAUUGUAAAGCACUUUAAGUUGGGAGGAAGGACAGUAAGUUAAUACCUUGCUGUUUUGACGUUACCAACAGAAUAAGCACCGGCUAACUUCGUG